GGCAUGAUUUACGCUGAUCGUUAGCUAUUCCGCGCCAAUGGCGGCGCGGCACCAGGACAAAGGCGUCCC
This 69-nucleotide non-coding RNA is filed under the name unclassified sequences. The record is from RNAcentral.